UAGACCCACCGUAGAUCAAUCAUCUA
This 26-nucleotide non-coding RNA is filed under the name Mus musculus (house mouse). The record is from RNAcentral. Lineage: Eukaryota; Metazoa; Chordata; Mammalia; Rodentia; Muridae.